Molecule: ribosomal RNA, 504 nt
Filed under: uncultured bacterium
Lineage: Bacteria
Description: bacterial SSU rRNA
Rfam family: Bacterial small subunit ribosomal RNA
Source: RNAcentral
GAGUUUGAUCCUGGCUCAGGACGAACGCUGGCGGCGCACCUAACACAUGCAAGUCGAACGGAGCUUAAAGAGCUUGCUUUUUAAGCUUAGUGGCGAACGGGUGAGUAACGCGUGAGUAACCUGCCCUAGAGUGGGGGACAACAGUUGGAAACGACUGCUAAUACCGCAUAAGCCCACGGGUCGGCAUCGACCAGAGGGAAAAGGAGCAAUCCGCUUUGAGAUGGCCUCGCGUCCGAUUAGCUAGUUGGUGAGGUAACGGCCCACCAAGGCAACGAUCGGUAGCCGGACUGAGAGGUUGAACGGCCACAUUGGGACUGAGACACGGCCCAGACUCCUACGGGAGGCAGCAGUGGGGAAUAUUGCACAAUGGGGGAAACCCUGAUGCAGCGACGCCGCGUGGAGGAAGAAGGUCUUCGGAUUGUAAACUCCUGUUGUUGAGGAAGAUAAUGACGGUACUCAACAAGGAAGUGACGGCUAACUACGUGCCAGCCGCCGCGGUAAUAC